GUUUGGGCUCAAAUACGCUUUCCAAAAACGAACACGCACUGACCUAAGUGGGCUUAUUCAAUGGGAUGACGCAUCGGCUCGACUGCGCCACUUGGGUAAUGGUUGGCUCACCGGCAGGUGGGGGCCACCAGUCGGGUUCAUCUCCCUCCUCCGUUAACGCUUGCGCAAAGAAUAGGGCGAGUCCGGCGACGAUUUGCUGGCACCACGCGACACCAUCCUCAAUGCCCGACCCAUCCACACGCUCAGGGGAACUACCCGCAUCGCAUGGAGGGGAAAUCCAUGGUAGGAGAGCUUCAGGUUGAGCAGGGACUUGGCAAUGGUGGACCGAGCUUCGGUCAUGGAGGAAGCUUUGCUCAUUGUGGCUCCCCGACCAAACUCGAGGGGGAAAUGGGUUCACUGGGUCAUGAGGGUUCUAACAGAGAAGGAGAGAGGCAAGGAGGGGCUCUGUCUUGCUCGAGUUUAGUCGAGAAUGGCGGAGGCCGAAUCUGCCGGCGGUGGAGAAGGAGACGGCCUCGGUGGAAACUGAGGCAAGAGAAAUCUUGAUAUGGCCGCGACG
RNAcentral lists this long non-coding RNA (556 nucleotides) under Hordeum vulgare. RNAcentral's name for it is "long non-coding RNA (HVUL_LNC019320)". The record is from RNAcentral. Lineage: Eukaryota; Viridiplantae; Streptophyta; Magnoliopsida; Poales; Poaceae.